RNAcentral lists this ribosomal RNA (773 nucleotides) under uncultured bacterium. Its description in RNAcentral is "bacterial SSU rRNA". It matches the Rfam family "Bacterial small subunit ribosomal RNA", at positions 8 to 798 of the family's 1533-position model. The record is from RNAcentral.
AGAGUUUGAUCCUGGCUCAGGACGAACGCUGGCGGCGUGCUUAACACAUGCAAGUCGAACGGAAAGGCCCUUCGGGGUACUCGAGUGGCGAACGGGUGAGUAACACGUGGGUGAUCUGCCCUGCACUCUGGGAUAAGCCUGGGAAACUGGGUCUAAUACCGGAUAGGACCGCAUGCUUCAUGGUGUGUGGUGCAAAGCUUUUGCGGUGUGGGAUGAGCCCGCGGCCUAUCAGCUUGUUGGUGGGGUAAUGGCCCACCAAGGCGACGACGGGUAGCCGGCCUGAGAGGGUGACCGGCCACACUGGGACUGAGAUACGGCCCAGACUCCUACGGGAGGCAGCAGUGGGGAAUAUUGCACAAUGGGCGCAAGCCUGAUGCAGCGACGCCGCGUGAGGGAUGACGGCCUUCGGGUUGUAAACCUCUUUCAGUAGGGACGAAGCGAAAGUGACGGUACCUACAGAAGAAGGACCGGCCAACUACGUGCCAGCAGCCGCGGUAACACGUAGGGUCCGAGCGUUGUCCGGAAUUACUGGGCGUAAAGAGCUCGUAGGUGGUUUGUCGCGUUGUUCGUGAAAACUCACAGCUUAACUGUGGGCGUGCGGGCGAUACGGGCAGACUAGAGUACUGCAGGGGAGACUGGAAUUCCUGGUGUAGCGGUGGAAUGCGCAGAUAUCAGGAGGAACACCGGUGGCGAAGGCGGGUCUCUGGGCAGUAACUGACGCUGAGGAGCGAAAGCGUGGGUAGCGAACAGGAUUAGAUACCCUGGUAGUCCAA